AUGCGGAACCCGAGGGUUCGGCAUAAGGCGCAGGAGGAGGUCCGGUGAGCGAUGGCCGGCCACAGCAAGGUGACGGAGGACGGCCUCGGCAACCUCCACUACCCGCACAUGGUCGUCAAGGAGUCUCUCCGGCUGCACGUGCCGGGCCCGCUGUUGACGCUCCGCCAGUGCAGGAGCCCGUGCCAGGUGCUCGGGUACGACGUGCCCGCGGGCGCCAUGGUGCUCGUUAACUCGUGGGCGAUCGCCAGGGACCCCGCGCACUGGGACGCACUGGAGGAGUUUCUGCCGGAGAGGUUUGACCAGGAGCAAGGUGGCGCCGGGAGGGACUUUAAGGGCACAGACUUUGAGUUCAUACCGUUCGGAGCAGGGCGAAGGAUGUGCCCGGGGAUGAUGUUUGGGCUGGCGCACAUCGAGCUCGCGCUCGCCGCGUUGCUGUUCCACUUCGACCUGGAGCUGCCUGCAGGCGUGGACGCGGCGGGGUUGGACAUGACGGAGGAGGCUGGCAUCACCACGCGGCGGAGGUCCGAGCUUCUCGUGGUGGCCACCACGCUUGUUCCUGUACCAUAG
This 567-nucleotide ribosomal RNA is filed under the name Triticum aestivum (bread wheat). RNAcentral describes it as "partial small subunit ribosomal RNA". Lineage: Eukaryota; Viridiplantae; Streptophyta; Magnoliopsida; Poales; Poaceae. The record is from RNAcentral.